GACGAACGCUGGCGGCGUGCUUAACACAUGCAAGUCGAACGGAGAUUAUUAAUGAAGCUUGCGAUUUAAUAAUCUUAGUGGCGGACGGGUGAGUAACGCGUGGGCAACCUACCCAUAAGCGGGGGAUAACAGUUGGAAACGACUGCUAAUACCGCAUAAGCUAUUGAGGUCGCAUGACCUAAAUAGUAAAGGUGGCGAAAGCUAUCACUUAUGGAUGGGCCCGCGUCUGAUUAGCUAGUUGGUGGGAUAGCAGCCUACCAAGGCAACGAUCAGUAGCCGGCCUGAGAGGGUGGACGGCCACACUGGGACUGAGACACGGCCCAGACUCCUACGGGAGGCAGCAGUGGGGAAUAUUGCGCAAUGGGGGAAACCCUGACGCAGCGACGCCGCGUGAGCGAAGAAGGCCUUAGGGUCGUAAAGCUCUGUUGUAAGGGACGAAUGUUUAUCUGGCGAACAGUCAGAUAAAGUGACGGUACCUUACCAGCAAGCCCCGGCUAACU
Molecule: ribosomal RNA, 500 nt
Filed under: uncultured bacterium
Lineage: Bacteria
Description: bacterial SSU rRNA
Rfam family: Bacterial small subunit ribosomal RNA
Source: RNAcentral